UCUUGCACGUGCAAAGAGCUUGCAAACUACGACAACUUUUAGCGUCUUUUUCAGCUUCUAAGGAGUCAAAAAACACGUCAUUUCGACCCUAUUACCUUGGAUACUAUCUGUUCUGUCCAGGUCUGCCAGUGUCUUUAUGCUGGAUCAAGUGGUCUAGAUACCAUGUCGAGGAUUUGUGCUUUUCACUUUAUCGCGUCGUUUCUUCAGAAGAAAAUUAGAGCACUACGAAAUCAACAACUUCAAGGAAGGAAGGAAAUACAUGACAACUCCUAACAAG
Long non-coding RNA from Pocillopora damicornis (cauliflower coral), 277 nucleotides. Lineage: Eukaryota; Metazoa; Cnidaria; Anthozoa; Scleractinia; Pocilloporidae. The record is from RefSeq and is a predicted model, not a curated record.